This 253-nucleotide ribosomal RNA is filed under the name uncultured bacterium. RNAcentral's name for it is "partial 16S ribosomal RNA". It matches the Rfam family "Bacterial small subunit ribosomal RNA", at positions 524 to 776 of the family's 1533-position model. The record is from RNAcentral.
UACAGAGGUUCCGAGCGUUGUUCGGAUUCACUGGGCGUAAAGGGUGCGUAGGUGGCAGGGUAAGUCGGAUGUGAAAGCUCGGAGCUCAACUCCGAAAUGGCAUUGGAAACUACCCAGCUCGAGGGUUGGAGGGGGGACUGGAAUGCUUGGUGUAGCAGUGAAAUGCGUAGAUAUCAAGCGGAACACCAGUGGCGAAGGCGAGUCUCUGGGCAGAUACUGACGCUCAGGAGCGAAAGCGUGGGGAGCGAACAGG